RNAcentral lists this ribosomal RNA (479 nucleotides) under uncultured bacterium. RNAcentral's name for it is "partial 16S ribosomal RNA". It matches the Rfam family "Bacterial small subunit ribosomal RNA", at positions 28 to 507 of the family's 1533-position model. The record is from RNAcentral.
GAUGAACGCUAGCGGGAGGCCUAACACAUGCAAGCCGAGCGGUCUUGUUUCUUCGGUGCUGAGAGAGCGGCGUACGGGUGCGUAACACGUGUGCAACCUGCCUUUAUCUGGGGGAUAGCCUUUCGAAAGGAAGAUUAAUACUCCAUAAUAUAUUGAACGGCAUCGUUUAAUAUUCAAAGCUCCGGCGGCUCGAGCUGGGCACGCGCCAGAUUAGCUAGUUGGUGAGGUAACGGCUCACCAAGGCGAUGAUCUUUAGGGGGCCUGAGAGGGUGAUCCCCCACACUGAUACUGAGACGCGGACCAGACGAGGACGGGAGGCAGCAGUGAGGAAUAUUGGGCAAUGGGUGCAAGCCUGAACCAGCCAUCCCGCGUGAAGGACGACUGCCCUAUGGGAUGUAAACUUCGUUUGUAUAGGGAUAAACCUACCCUCGAGGGGGUAGCUGAAGGUACUAUACGAAUAAGCACCGGCUAACUCCGUG